This 479-nucleotide ribosomal RNA is filed under the name uncultured bacterium. Its description in RNAcentral is "partial 16S ribosomal RNA". It matches the Rfam family "Bacterial small subunit ribosomal RNA", at positions 28 to 507 of the family's 1533-position model. The record is from RNAcentral.
GAUGAACGCUGGCGGCGUGCUUAACACAUGCAAGUCGAACGAAGUGUCUAUUCAAAGUUCUUCGGGAUGGAGAAUAAAUUACUGAGUGGCGGACGGGUGAGUUACGCGUGGGUAACCUGCCUCACACAGGGGGAUAACAGUUGGAAACGACUGCGAAUACCGCAUAAGACCACAGCACCGCAUGGUGCAGGGGUGAAAGAUGUAUCGGUGUGGGAUGGACCUGCGUCGGAUUAGAUAGUUGGUGGGGUAGAAGCCUACCAAGUCAAGGAUCAGUAGCCGACCUGGGAAGGUGAUCGGCUACAUUGGGGAUACGACACAGACCACACUCGGACGCGGGGCAGCAGUGGGGAAUAUUGGACGAUGAAGGCAAACGUGGUACAGCAACGCCGGGUGAGUGGAGAAGUGUUUCGGUAUGUGCAGCUCUAUCAGAAGGGGAGAAAAUGACGGUACCUGACUAAGAAGCCCCGGCUAACUACGUG